This 253-nucleotide ribosomal RNA is filed under the name uncultured bacterium. RNAcentral's name for it is "partial 16S ribosomal RNA". It matches the Rfam family "Bacterial small subunit ribosomal RNA", at positions 524 to 776 of the family's 1533-position model. The record is from RNAcentral.
UACGGAGGGGGCUAGCGUUGUUCGGAAUUACUGGGCGUAAAGCGCACGUAGGCGGCUUUGUAAGUUAGAGGUGAAAGCCCAGGGCUCAACCCUGGAAUUGCCUUUAAGACUGCAUCGCUAGAAUUGUGGAGAGGUAAGUGGAAUUCCGAGUGUAGAGGUGAAAUUCGUAGAUAUUCGGAAGAACACCAACGGCGAAGGCAGCUCGCUGGGACGGUACUGACGCUGAGACGCGAAAGCGUGGGGAGCGAACAGG